UAGAGUUUGAUCCUGGCUCAGGAUGAACGCUGGCGGCGUGCUUAACACAUGCAAGUCGAACGAACCUUCGGGUUAGUGGCGGACGGGUGAGUAACGCGUGAGAAUCUGCCCUCAGGAGGGGGACAACAGCUGGAAACGGCUGCUAAUACCCCAUAUGCCGCGAGGUGAAAUGAAUUUCGCCUGAGGAUGAGCUCGCGUCUGAUUAGCUAGUUGGUGUAGGUAAUGGCUCACCAAGGCAUCGAUCAGUAGCUGGUCUGAGAGGAUGAUCAGCCACACUGGGACUGAGACACAGCCCAGACUCCUACGGGAGGCAGCAGUGGGGAAUUUUCCGCAAUGGGCGAAAGCCUGACGGAGCAACGCCGCGUGAGGGAUGAAGGCCUCUGGGCUGUAAACCUCUUUUAUCAAGGAAGAAGAUCUGACGGUACUUGAUGAAUAAGCCACGGCUAAUUCCGUGCCAGCAGCCGCGGUAAUACGGGAGUGGCAAGCGUUAUCCGGAAUUAUUGGGCGUAAAGCGUCCGCAGGCGGCCCUUCAAGUCUGCUGUUAAAAAGUGGAGCUUAACUCCAUCAUGGCAGUGGAAACUGUUGGGCUUUGANUGUGGUANGGGCAAA
Molecule: ribosomal RNA, 609 nt
Filed under: uncultured cyanobacterium
Lineage: Bacteria; Bacillati; Cyanobacteriota
Description: bacterial SSU rRNA
Rfam family: Bacterial small subunit ribosomal RNA
Source: RNAcentral